CGGGGUGAGUAAUGUCUGGGAAACUGCCUGAUGAGGGGGGAUAACUACUGGAAACGGUAGCUAAUACCGCAUAAUGUCGCAAGACCAAAGAGGGGGACCUCGGGCCUCUUGCCAUCGGAUGUGCCCAGAUGGGAUUAGCUAGUAGGUGGGGUAACGGCUCACCUAGGCGACGAUCCCUAGCUGGUCUGAGAGGAUGACCAGCCACACUGGAACUGAGACACGGUCCAG
RNAcentral lists this ribosomal RNA (228 nucleotides) under uncultured bacterium. RNAcentral's name for it is "partial 16S ribosomal RNA". It matches the Rfam family "Bacterial small subunit ribosomal RNA", at positions 104 to 334 of the family's 1533-position model. The record is from RNAcentral.